Molecule: ribosomal RNA, 440 nt
Filed under: uncultured bacterium
Lineage: Bacteria
Description: partial 16S ribosomal RNA
Rfam family: Bacterial small subunit ribosomal RNA
Source: RNAcentral
CCUACGGGGGGCAGCAGUGGGGAAUAUUGCACAAUGGGGGAAACCCUGAUGCAGCGACGCCGCGUGAGUGAAGAAGUAAUUCGUUAUGUAAAGCUCUAUCAGCAGGGAAGAAAAUGACGGUACCUGAGUAAGAAGCCCCGGCUAACUACGUGCCAGCAGCCGCGGUAAGACGGAGGGGGCAAGCGUUAUCCGGAUUUACUGGGUGUAAAGGGAGCGUAGUAGGCAAUACAAGUCGGAAGUGAAAUAGCCGGGCUCAACCUGGGAACUGCUUUGGAAACUGUAUGGCUGGAGUGCUGGAGGGGUAAGCGGAAUUCCUAGUGUAGCGGUGAAAUGCGUAGAUAUUAGGAGGAACACCAGUGGCGAAGGCGGCUUACUGGACAGUAACUGACGUUGAGGCUCGAAAGCGUGGGGAGCAAACAGGAUUAGAUACCCGGGUAGUC